This 493-nucleotide ribosomal RNA is filed under the name uncultured bacterium. RNAcentral's name for it is "bacterial SSU rRNA". It matches the Rfam family "Bacterial small subunit ribosomal RNA", at positions 903 to 1397 of the family's 1533-position model. The record is from RNAcentral.
AAAUGAAUAGACGGGGGCCCGCACAAGCAGUGGAGUAUGUGGUUUAAUUCGAAGCAACGCGAAGAACCUUACCAGGAUUUGACAUCCCCUGAAUAGCAUAGAGAUAUGUGAAGCUCUUUUAGAGCAGGGAGACAGGUGGUGCAUGGUUGUCGUCAGCUCGUGUCGUGAGAUGUUGGGUUAAGUCCCGCAACGAGCGCAACCCUUGUUGCCAGUUACCAUCAUUAAGUUGGGGACUCUGGCGAGACUGCCGAUGAUGAAUCGGAGGAAGGUGGGGACGACGUCAAAUCAUCAUGCCCCUUAUGUCCUGGGCUACACACGUACUACAAUGGACAAUACAGAGGGAAGCUAAGGAGCGAUCCGGAGCAAAUCCGCUAAAAUUGUUCUCAGUUCAGAUUGCAGGCUGAAACUCGCCUGCAUGAAGUCGGAAUUGCUAGUAAUCGCAGGUCAGCAUACUGCGGUGAAUACGUUCCCGGGCCUUGUACACACCGCCCGU